Molecule: ribosomal RNA, 524 nt
Filed under: uncultured bacterium
Lineage: Bacteria
Description: partial 16S ribosomal RNA
Rfam family: Bacterial small subunit ribosomal RNA
Source: RNAcentral
AUUGAACGCUGGCGGCAGGCUUAACACAUGCAAGUCGAGCGCAGGAAACUGACGGAACUCUUCGGAGGGAAGGCAGCGGAAUGAGCGGCGGACGGGUGAGUAACACGUAAGGAACCUGCCUCAAGGAUUGGGAUAACUCCGAGAAAUCGGAGCUAAUACCGGAUAGUUCAUCGGACCGCAUGGUCCGCUGAUGAAAGGCGCUCCGGCGUCACCUUGAGAUGGCCUUGCGGUGCAUUAGCUAGUUGGUGGGGUAACGGCCCACCAAGGCGACGAUGCAUAGCCGACCUGAGAGGGUGAUCGGCCACACUGGGACUGAGACACGGCCCAGACUCCUACGGGAGGCAGCAGUAGGGAAUCUUCCACAAUGGACGAAAGUCUGAUGGAGCAACGCCGCGUGAGUGAUGAAGGUUUUCGGAUCGUAAAACUCUGUUGUAGGGGAAGAACACGUACGAGAGGAAAUGCUCGUACCUUGACGGUACCUUACGAGAAAGCCACGGCUAACUACGUGCCAGCCGCCGCCGUAA